CCUGGGGAGUACGGUCGCAAGAUUAAAACUCAAAGGAAUUGACGGGGACCCGCACAAGCGGUGGAUGAUGUGGAUUAAUUCGAUGCAACGCGAAAAACCUUACCUACCCUUGACAUGGCUGGAAUCCUCGAGAGAUUGAGGAGUGCUCGAAAGAGAACCAGUACACAGGUGCUGCAUGGCUGUCGUCAGCUCGUGUCGUGAGAUGUUGGGUUAAGUCCCGCAACGAGCGCAACCCUUGUCAUUAGUUGCUACGAAAGGGCACUCUA
This 266-nucleotide ribosomal RNA is filed under the name Janthinobacterium lividum. RNAcentral describes it as "partial 16S ribosomal RNA". It matches the Rfam family "Bacterial small subunit ribosomal RNA", at positions 872 to 1142 of the family's 1533-position model. The record is from RNAcentral. Lineage: Bacteria; Pseudomonadati; Pseudomonadota; Betaproteobacteria; Burkholderiales; Oxalobacteraceae.